Molecule: ribosomal RNA, 492 nt
Filed under: uncultured bacterium
Lineage: Bacteria
Description: partial 16S ribosomal RNA
Rfam family: Bacterial small subunit ribosomal RNA
Source: RNAcentral
AGUGAACGCUGGCGGUAGGCCUAACACAUGCAAGUCGAACGGCAGCACAGUAAGAGCUUGCUCUUACGGGUGGCGAGUGGCGGACGGGUGAGGAAUACAUCGGACUCUACUUUUUCGUGGGGGAUAACGUAAGGAAACUUACGCUAAUACCGCAUACGACCUACGGGUGAAAGCAGGGGAUCUUCGGACCUUGCGCGAUUGAAUGAGCCGAUGUCGGAUUAGCUAGUUGGCGGGGUAAAGGCCCACCAAGGCGACGAUCCGUAGCUGGUCUGAGAGGAUGAUCGGCCACACGGGAACUGAGACAGGGUCCAGACUCCUACGGGAGGCAGCAGUGGGGAAUAUUGGACAAUGGGCGCAAGCCUGAUCCAGCCAUACCGCGUGGGUGAAGAAGGCCUUCGGGUUGUAAAGCCCUUUUGUUGGGAAAGAAAAGCAGCAGGUUAAUACCCCGCUGUUCUGACGGUACCCAAAGAAUAAGCACCGGCUAACUUCGUG